RNAcentral lists this long non-coding RNA (1687 nucleotides) under Anser brachyrhynchus (Pink-footed goose). Its description in RNAcentral is "lncRNA (ENSABRG00000005853.1)". Lineage: Eukaryota; Metazoa; Chordata; Aves; Anseriformes; Anatidae. The record is from RNAcentral.
GUAGUUCUAGGCAGCUCAUUCAGUUGAGACUACCGAAUUACGCAGAGAGCAAUCAGUGGGCACAGGGUUACCGAGCCUGCUUUCAGCCCCUUUCUGACCCAGGCUUCCCUCGUUUUCCUGGUGUGGCUGUAGCCCGCUCUGCUGCAGCACGAGUGAGGAGUGUAAGGACUUCUUCCCGGCUUUGCUUAGGGGAAACAACCGUCUGCCCAUUCUCCUGGCUGUAUUCAUCUGCUCUGUCCUGACGUGUGUGGUCAGUCUGAGCAGAGCCCCUUUCCGAGCCAGAGAAGUGCUGCCAAGUGUGACACAGAGGGCGAGGAGGCAGGUGCUGGUACAGUCCUUACCGCUUCCUUCGUAGGAGAAGUCCCAUGCCCAGUUACCUCCGGGUAGGUCCUCCUGCUGCGUCUCUCUCAGCUGUAGCUGCUUUUCUCCCUCAGAUGCAAAGGAUUUGAGAACAGGCAGCAGCAGCUGCCUUUGGUAGCACCAAAGACACUUGGUGACACCUGUGGUGCAGCACCGAGCCGCUUGGUGCUGCUGACAAGGGCGUUGAGAGGUGCUGUGCUUGCCCUCCCGCAGGGAGGGUAGGAGUGGGGAUGUCUGGUUGUGGUGGCCGCUGUCCCCUGUCGUAGCGUGGCUGUGAGCUGUGUGUGUGUCAGGGGAGCGCUUCCCCCAGUACAGGGGCUGCUUGCUCCCGAGCAUACUUGCAGCCACGCCAGCACUUCUACCGAUCUUACUGCCCAUGUACCGAAUGUUUAAAACCCCCAAUAAAGAGGGCAGGAAUGGUCACAGCAGACCUGCCCCUCAAGGGCCCUGAGCACCUGGUGCCUGACGGGCAGCCCAGGUUCAGGUGGGCUCCGGGCCACGGCCAGCACAGCUGAGAUGCGGGACGAGCCCUUGGCUCUCUGCUCUCAGCAGAGCCGGGGGAAGGGAGGUGUGAGCCAGAGGUGGAGGUGUCUGUGGUGCUGCUGGUCUGAGGAGGCCGGUAGGACGUGGGUCGUGGUUCGUCAGAGCAGUACUUUGAGUUGGAAAGCUGGUAUUUUAGUACCUUGCUUGUUUCUCCACCAAGUGACAGAUCUGAUUUCACUCACCUACCUCUUGGCUGAACUUCGGUGUCACCUGUGCCUGCAGGGCCGUGCAGCACUGCAGCCACGUUUCGGAUGAAGCACAGGAAUGAAUGCAGACUUUAGAUUCUCCGGAAUGCUUUAGAAUAGAAACGUGGUGCACAUGCACUGAAAUAAUCAUGAUCUCAUUCCCGAGCUGGAGCCUGUGUCCCUGCCUGGCAGCUUGUGCCCUGGGCAGGGAGUACGGCUGGCACCGAGAGCCUGCGUGGGGACAGUGGAUGUCAGCGCAUUGGCCAAGUGCAAAAACAAAACAGCCAGCAGCAGCCAAAAUCCUCCUGUGCGCCGUGUUCAGAAAGUUCAGAAAAUCAUUGGCUUAAGGAAAUACGAUUUCAGCCUUCAGCGUUCUCUUCUGGCAAUAUGCAUUCCCCGUAAAUAGACAGUUAUUCCUGCCAGGGGUGGAAUUUUUCUCUCUUUGAAGCUGAAAACUCGUUAAAAUCUGAUGUUAAACAAUUAAUGUUCCUAGGGACAAAUUGUUUCGUGUACUAGGACUUUCUCCAGCCAGAGAAAACACAGUAUCCAUGAAAAUUACAGGACUCAUAAUAAACUUCAUACUAACAAAAUGCUCGGCA